UACGGCCGCAUCACGUUGAAAAACCGGUUCCCGUACGAUCACCGAAGCUAAGCAACGUCGAUUCUGGUCGAUACUUAGAUGGGUGACCGUUUGGGAAUAACAGGUUCUGUAAG
Molecule: non-coding RNA, 113 nt
Organism: Acanthosepion pharaonis
Lineage: Eukaryota; Metazoa; Mollusca; Cephalopoda; Sepiida; Sepiidae
Source: the annotation of a GenBank genome assembly